Long non-coding RNA from Oryctolagus cuniculus (rabbit), 5037 nucleotides. NCBI's taxonomy places the organism in Eukaryota, Metazoa, Chordata, Mammalia, Lagomorpha, Leporidae. The record is from Ensembl.
AUGAAGGAGGAGAGAGAUAACAUGCACCAGGAACAUCUAUCUGAAGGAACACCUGUGCAGCCCCCGAGAGAGCCGGCCGGCGGUGUGCCGCUCCCCCGCGAAAGUGGGGAAAGCGGUGGGGGGUGCCGCCCCUCUGCGGAGGCGGGGGGCCAGCAGCUAACCCGGGACGGCGUCGUUCCUCCACGAAUGAGGGACCGGCAGCUAAUCCGGGAAGAGCGCAGGGUCUGGUGUCAUUCCUCCGCGAAUGGGGGAGCGACAGGCCGAGGCCGAGCGGACUCGGGGGUCCAACUGAGGGCUUCGCACCUUGUCCUGGGCAGCAGGGACCGCAGGGCCCAGCUGACCACUCGCGUCCACCCCCCAACCUCCGCACUGGACGCGUGCAGCACCCACUGGCGGCCCCGCCCAGCUCUCAGGGCCCUGCGAGUCCAGUCGGGGUUCUGCUUCGGGGAGAGCGAGGUGGACUCAGGCCCAGCGGCUGCCUCCGGGAACCAAGGACACAGGACAGAGCCUGACCUGCACACCCCACAGCAUCAGGAGGUGGAGAGAGGUGGGCUUCCGGUGGGGAGGGGCUGGGCUUCCGGCGUGGAGAGAGGUGGGCUUUCAGGUGGGGAGAGGGACGGGGCUUCUGGUGUGAAGAGAGGUGGGCUUCUGGUGUGGAAUGAGGUGGGCUUCCGGUGUGGAGAGGGGCGUGGCUUCCGGCGUGGAGAGGGGCGGGGCUUCCGGUGUGGAGAGAGGUGGGUUUCCAGUGUGGAGAGGGGCGGGGCUUCCUGUGAGGAGAGGGGCGGGGCUUCUGGUGUGGAGAGAGGUGGGGUGCUGGUGUGAAGAGAGGUGGACUUCCGGUGUGGAGAGGGGCGGGGCUUCUGUGAGGAGAGAGGCGGGCUUCCUGUGAGGAGAGGGGCGGGGCUUCUGGUGUGGAGAGAGGCGGGGCUUCCUCGAGAGGCGGGACUUCCUUGAGAAAGGCAGGCGUCCUGUGAGAGCGCGGGAGAGCCUCGUGUGGGGGGCUCGCCGAAGGGUCCCCGAGAGAGAGGUGUUAGCCGUGGGUCCACGGCAGCCACGGUCGGGGCCGGAAUGCAUGCAGCCUGCCGGGUGGAGGUGCAGAAGGCGAGGGUGGCCGCGGUGGGGGCCGAGAACAGCAGCGGCAGAGCCACGCGGGAGGGCGGGGUGCGGAGCCGCAGGCCAGAGCGGCGCCAUGGGGGUGGCACCCCUCAGCUUGCGGCCUGGGGUGCCGGCUUCCUGUGGGCUCCACUUCCGAUCCGGAGCCAGUGGAGGAUGGCCGAGCGCCCAGGCCCUGCACCUGCGGGGAGGGAGACCUGGGAGAAGCGCCUGGCUCCCGGCUGUGGCCCAGCCCGGCCCUGGCUCUCGCAGCCGUCUGAGUGAGCGGGCGGAUGGAAGACCUCUGUGUGUCGUGUGUGUGUCUCUGCCUGACACAUAAGUCAAUUCUUUUCUAUGAAAAUCACACCACGAGGUGUAAACUGGCAGCCGGGGUCAGCGCUACAGGAGAGGCUCCUGCCCACAGGAGAGCAGCCCUGGUGAGGCCGGGGAGGCAGAGACAGCUCUCGGAGGGAGCAGGCGAGAGCGUUUCCAGCAAACGCGGCAGCACAUGCCAAGGUCCUGUGGCAGCUUGGGGAGGGGCCAUUCUGGGAGCCACAGGAGGAGGGGGAGGGGUGGGUCUAGAGGAAGGCGACGCGGCCUCAUUAUCUGCCAAGUCUUCAUGGCCAAGGCUGCAGGCAGCACCCACGCCUGACUCCCAGCCACGCGCCUCCAGCCCACCCUGUGCCCAAGGCCCGAUUCACAGCAGCUACUUGGCAUUGCCGCCACCGGGACGCCUCACAGUGCCUGGCCUCCCCCACCCGGCUGCUGGGAACCCGCGUGGCCUCCUGUGUCCCCCUCUUCUUCUCCCACCCACUUCCUCGAGCUCCUUUGCCCAGCACCCGUCAGAGCCAGGAGUGCCUAGGCGUUUCCACGCGUCGGGGCAGCCCUCCGGGUGACAGGUGCAGAGGGGCCGGGGCCUCUGUGCCCCCUGGUGAGACAAGCGCCAGAGGGUCCCGAGGCUCAGGCAGAGCCCAGCUGUCCCCUGUGUGCCUCUGCGGCCGCCUCCUCCCCGUCCUCCCCCGGGGAAGCAGGUGCACUGAGCACAGUCCCCCCGCCCAGCCAGCAGGGGGCGCUGCUCGGUCACUGCAGGCUGGGCAGCCGGCGGCAAGGGAAGCCCGGACUCAGGACGGGGCUCUGGGCGGGGCUACAGCGUUCUAGAAGGGACUGGAACCGAGCCCGCUGCCCCAUCGGCUCCUCCUCAGCUCGCGAUGCUGCCUGCCCGCUGCGCUCCUCAGUCGGGGCCGGGAGUGUGGGGAGCUGUCCUGCACCCCCCGUCCCCCCAGUGCGUCCUUGGCGCGAGGCUCGCGGUGCGUGGUCUCCUAUGGGAAGCCAAUCCAGGACCCGGACCCCUCAUCCAGGCUCCGACCGACUGCUACGACCCCGGUCUGGAGCACUGCUGGGGUCUCCCCACCUCCGCGCACAGGGGACCCACCGGCCAGGGCCUCCUCUUCCCGCUCCGGGCUCCCACCCAAAUCGCGAGCCUCUGGGGAGUCCACCAUCGGCGCCACCAGUCCGCCCGGGCUCCCGCCGCGGCCCCUCGGCUCGCCGUCCGCCCGGGCUCCUGCUCCGGCCCCUCGGCUCGCCGUGGGCACCGCGGGGUUGCCCGGCAGCCUCCAGCCAGGACGGAUUCCGUCCACACGGCCCGAAGGGAAGCCCCUCUGACGCCUACGAAAGCCGAGCGGCACAGUGGUGCACGCACCAGGCCGGGUCAGCCUGGAGUUCAUGACCACUGACUGGCCAGCGUCCAGCUGCCAGAGAGCCGAUGCCACGGGACCUCAGGGCGCAGAUGGGACGAGACCCCGGCGGCCACCAUGGUGUUUCCGUGUGACGAGCGCCCUGCAAGCCGUGGCCUCAGCGACACAGGUGUCCCUGCCCGUCUUCAGGAGCCGGGCCUUCAGUCUCCCCCUGCCCGGCCUGGAACCGCACCGUCGGCUGCCCGGGGCUCACGGCACAGCAGGCCGCGGGGCUUCUCAGCGCCAGACCCGCGGGGGCCGGCAGCACGUCGGAAAUCGGCAGACCAUGUGAGGGGUCGCCGCGGCUGGGAGGAGGAGGAGGAGGGCCGGGCAGCGGCCAUGACGUCGGCCUAGCGCAUCCCCGGCACGGAUGGGCCACGUCCAGCCGGCUGAGAGCCAGGGCUGGCCUCCGCUCCCUCGCUCCGAGGACCCGCGGGCCCCAGGCUUCUGCACUGGGCUGAGCCUCUCGCCCAGCCCCCGGGGCCUCCGGCCUGCAGGCGGCUGCCCCGGGUGUGAGCAUGUGAGCCGAGCCCCCCUGUGCUGUAGCCUGGUCUACACUGGCUGUUUCCUCUGGGGAACCCCGACUCACACGGGGUUGACAGAUGCGGGCACCGAGGUGGCCGUGGGUGCAGACAGCCACAGGUGCGCAGCGACAAGCAGCCAGUCCGCCUCCCGCAAGUCCACCGGGCACCGCCCCGACGCCCGGGCUGACCUAGCUCUCGCGGCUCAGCACCCGCAGGGGAGAGCAGGCGAUACAGAGCGAGUGUACGAAGCAGCAGAUUCCCCGGGACGCUGGCAGGCGGGGAGAGCCGCCCAGCGAGACCCACGUGGUGCGGCUGCAGUCCUCAGCAGGGCAGCCGCGCUCGGCCUCAUCGAGAAGGUGGCGUCCGAGAGCCAAGGGAGCAGGCCCGGCCCCCGGCCUCCGGCCCCCGGCCCCCGGCCCCCGGCCCGUGACUGCGAGCAGGCAUCCCCGGCGGAGGCGGAGCCGUGCGCGGGCCCUCGGCGGGGCCGGGAGGUGCGGUCACUCCGCGAGCAGCGGGCUGCAGGGAGUGUCCGGACAUGACGUCAGAGUCUAGGGCAAGACACAUGGCCGCACGGAAAGGCACACCCAACGCCCCUCCUUUUAAUGUUUUCCAAAGUCAUGGACAUUUACAACUCAUUUUAAAAACGCAUUUGGAAAACUGGGAAGGCUUGGAAAGCGCGCGCCCUGCAGAAUCAGGCAAAGGGAAGGAAUCCUUUCCUUUGGCCCCUUGGUAACUGGCCACCGGGGACCCUGGCUGCACGAAAGCAAGAUGGCGCCGCUCCUGCGGGCAAGGCGCUACCGCCCGCUCUCGGCCGCGUGCUGAUGACGUCAGCCGUCAUGUGACUGAGCGGCACCAAUCAGAGAGCUGGGCCCUGGGCGAGUGAGCCGGCCACUCUGGUGGGGCAUCUGGGUCCGACCGAGGAGCCGGAAGUUCGUGAACAUGCUCUCCUGUCGCCAGGGAGGAGGGCGGAGGGGCUUUCUGUCCGCGCUGGGAUCUCCUGGAUCUCGGAGGAUUACCGACCCUCUCCCCUUGCUCCAGCUCUGCGGACCCCAGCGUCCCCUCUCCAUGUUCCCGGUCACCCCUGGUCGCAGGAGCCCUUGGUGCCCCCACCCCAGGGGAGCGGCACCGUGCCCCCCCCGCCCCUCUGCGUGCUGGCCUUGGUCCCCCGCCCACCGUGGACCCCCGCCGUGGAGAGCACGCGCCCUGGGUGCGCGCCGGAGCCAACGCGGGGGCGGGGGAAGGUCUCACUAGGGAGAGAGGACGGGCCGCGGUGACUGCGGGGCCUGCGGGGCCCCGCGCGUGACUCCUGAGGGCCUGGUGGGGCUCCGCUGAGCAAGAUGUCCCCCGCCGCCUGCGUGGUGUCCGGCGGCCACUGGACGGGGCUCAAAGUCGUACAAUCGGCACGGGAGUGGGGCGCAGCUCUUAAGACACCGCUGCGCGGGGGUCACCGCACCCCAUGUCUGAACGUCUGGAUUGGAGUCCUGGCUCUGCUCCCGGUGCCAGCUCCCCGCUCACGGGCGCCCUGGGCGGGCGUACUGGGGUCCCUGCCGCCCACAGGCUUCCGCCUGGCCCAGCUGCAGCCGCUGUGCGCAUUUAGGGAGUGAACAGCGGAUGGGAGCGGCCCUCCCUCUCCCCCUCUCCCUCUCCCCCUCUCCUCUCCCCGCCCAGCUUUCAAUAAAUAACUGGAU